CAGAUUGAACGCUGGCGGCAUGCCUUACACAUGCAAGUCGAACGGCAGCACGGGAGCAAUCCUGGUGGCGAGUGGCGAACGGGUGAGUAAUAUAUCGGAACGUGCCCAGUCGUGGGGGAUAACGUAGCGAAAGCUACGCUAAUACCGCAUACUAUCUAUGGAUGAAANCGGGGGAUCGCAAGACCUCGCGCGAUUGGAGCGGCCGAUAUCAGGAUUAGGUAGUUGGUGAGGUAAAGGCUCACCAAGCCGACGAUCUGUAGCUGGUCUGAGAGGACGACCAGCCACACUGGAACUGAGACACGGUCCAGACUCCUACGGGAGGCAGCAGUGGGGAAUUUUGGACAAUGGACGCAAGUCUGAUCCAGCCAUUCCGCGUGCAGGAUGAAGGCCCUCGGGUUGUAAACUGCUUUUGUACGGAACGAAAAGGUUUCUAUUAAUACUAGGAGCUCAUGACGGUACCGUAAGAAUAAGCACCGGCUAACUACGUG
RNAcentral lists this ribosomal RNA (488 nucleotides) under uncultured bacterium. RNAcentral describes it as "bacterial SSU rRNA". It matches the Rfam family "Bacterial small subunit ribosomal RNA", at positions 25 to 507 of the family's 1533-position model. The record is from RNAcentral.